UACGUAGGUGACAAGCGUUGUCCGGAUUUACUGGGCGUAAAGAGCGCGCAGGCGGUCGAUCAAGUCGAGUGUGAAAGCCCCCGGCUCAACUGGGGAGGGUCAUUCGAUACUGAUCGACUCGAAGGCAGGAGAGGGUAGUGGAAUUCCCGGUGUAGUGGUGAAAUGCGUAGAUAUCGGGAGGAACGCCGGUGGCGAAAGCGAUCGUCUGGAGUGCAUGUGACGCUGAGGCGCGAAAGCUAGGGGAGCAAACGGG
Molecule: ribosomal RNA, 253 nt
Filed under: uncultured bacterium
Lineage: Bacteria
Description: partial 16S ribosomal RNA
Rfam family: Bacterial small subunit ribosomal RNA
Source: RNAcentral